GACGAACCACACAAACGUUAUUCGGAAUUACUGGGCUUAAAGGGUGCGUAGGCUGCGCAGUAAGUUGGGUGUGAAAUACCUCGGCUCAACCGAGGAACUGCGCCCAAAACUACUGUGCUUGAGGAAGAUAGAGGUGAGCGGAACUUACGGUGGAGCGGUGAAGUGCGUUGAUAUCGUAAGGAACACCUGUGGCGAAAGCGGCUCACUGGGUCUUUUCUGACGCUGAUGCACGAAAGCUAGGGGAGCAAACAGG
RNAcentral lists this unclassified non-coding RNA (253 nucleotides) under uncultured Pirellulaceae bacterium. Its description in RNAcentral is "contains 16S-23S intergenic spacer region". It matches the Rfam family "Bacterial small subunit ribosomal RNA", at positions 524 to 776 of the family's 1533-position model. Lineage: Bacteria; Pseudomonadati; Planctomycetota; Planctomycetia; Pirellulales; Pirellulaceae. The record is from RNAcentral.